This 465-nucleotide ribosomal RNA is filed under the name uncultured bacterium. RNAcentral's name for it is "partial 16S ribosomal RNA". It matches the Rfam family "Bacterial small subunit ribosomal RNA", at positions 338 to 795 of the family's 1533-position model. The record is from RNAcentral.
CCUACGGGAGGCAGCAGUAGGGAAUCUUCCACAAUGGGCGAAAGCCUGAUGGAGCAACGCCGCGUGGGUGAAGAAGGUCUUCGGAUCGUAAAACCCUGUUGUUAGAGAAGAAAGUGCGUGAGAGUAACUGUUCACGUUUCGACGGUAUCUAACCAGAAAGCCACGGCUAACUACGUGCCAGCAGCCGCGGGAAUACGUAGGUGGCAAGCGUUAUCCGGAUUUAUUGGGCGUAAAGGGAACGCAGGCGGUCUUUUAAGUCUGAUGUUAAAGCCGUCGGCUUAACCGGAGUAGUGCAUUGGAGACUGGGAGACUUGAGUGCAGGAGAGGAGAGUGGAACUCCAGGUGUAGCGGUGAAAUGCGUAGAUAUAUGGAAGAACACCAGUGGCGAAGGCGGCUCUCUGGUCUGUAACUGACGCUGAGGUUCGAAAGCGUGGGUAGCAAACAGGAUUAGAUACCCGUGUAGUC